Molecule: ribosomal RNA, 253 nt
Filed under: uncultured bacterium
Lineage: Bacteria
Description: partial 16S ribosomal RNA
Rfam family: Bacterial small subunit ribosomal RNA
Source: RNAcentral
UACGGGGGGGGCAAGCGUUGUUCGGAAUUACUGGGCGUAAAGGGCUCGUAGGCGGCCAACUAAGUCAGACGUGAAAUCCCUCGGCUUAACCGGGGAACUGCGUUUGAUACUGGAUGGCUAGAGGUUGGGAGAGGGAUGCGGAAUUCCAGGUGUAGCGGUGAAAUGCGUAGAUAUCAGGAGGAACACCGGUGGUGUAGACGGCUUUCUGGACCGUAACUGACGCUGAGACACGAAAGCGUGGGUAGCAAACAGG